This 440-nucleotide ribosomal RNA is filed under the name uncultured bacterium. RNAcentral describes it as "partial 16S ribosomal RNA". It matches the Rfam family "Bacterial small subunit ribosomal RNA", at positions 338 to 795 of the family's 1533-position model. The record is from RNAcentral.
CCUACGGGGGGCAGCAGUGGGGAAUAUUGCACAAUGGGGGAAACCCUGAUGCAGCGACGCCGCGUGAGUGAAGAAGUAUUUCGGUACGUAAAGCUCUAUCAGCAGGGAAGAAAAUGACGGUACCUGACUAAGAAGCCCCGGCUAACUACGUGCCAGCAGCCGCGGUAAUACGUAGGGGGCAAGCGUUAUCCGGAUUUACUGGGUGUAAAGGGAGCGUAGACGGCAGCGCAAGUCUGGAGUGAAAUCCCAUGGCUUAACCAUGGAACUGCUUUGGAAACUGUGCAGCUAGAGUGCAGGAGAGGUAAGCGGAAUUCCUAGUGUAGCGGUGAAAUGCGUAGAUAUUAGGAGGAACACCAGUGGCGAAGGCGGCUUACUGGACUGUAACUGACGUUGAGGCUCGAAAGCGUGGGGAGCAAACAGGAUUAGAUACACCGGUAGUC